CGCUGGCGCCCCCUUCCCUAAGCACAUGGUGACGCGGAGAAUUUUUUCUGCUGAUGAACGGCUUUUCCAAGGAGAUAAGAAGAAGAUGACCUGGGACAUAGAUUGACUGCCGCCACGAUCCCAACCGCGUUUCAGCAGCUACCCCUCUCCACCAUUCUUUAAUGUACAUAUGGAAAAGCAGCCAAAUAAACUCCCCAGCUUUUUAUGGUGUUAUCAUUUUAA
Molecule: long non-coding RNA, 222 nt
Organism: Drosophila rhopaloa
Lineage: Eukaryota; Metazoa; Arthropoda; Insecta; Diptera; Drosophilidae
Exons: 3
Source: RefSeq, a predicted model, not a curated record